Molecule: long non-coding RNA, 12230 nt
Filed under: Triticum aestivum (bread wheat)
Lineage: Eukaryota; Viridiplantae; Streptophyta; Magnoliopsida; Poales; Poaceae
Description: long non-coding RNA (TAES_LNC000175)
Source: RNAcentral
AGUAAGAAAAUAACCAGUAUUUAAAUAGGCAAGCAGAAAACACACAUAAUUAUUCAAAUAACAAUAGCCAGAUUCACUAAAAGCUCUACAAAUGACACGUAAUACAAGCUCUAGCAUAUACAAUGCUUUACAAGCUCUACAAAUGCAAAGCUCUACAGUACUUUACAAGCUCUCCAAGUAAUGUUACAAGCUCUACAGCAUGGAGCUCCUUCAACAACGAUCAAAUGUCGGACUCACGGACAGACAUAGUCAGGACUGGGCUGACAAAAAUACAACAUGCCUUCCACAGUCGCCCUGUUACAUGAAUCGGCCGAGAAGAAUCAGAAAAACUGGAUCCAAUAUAAUAUGAACAUUCCAUUCAAAAAAAGUAGUAAAGGGGUAAAGGACAUAAUGAUAAACAGAUUUCAGCUAGUACCAAGGUUUUUUAGCCGAGCUAGUUAAAAUGAGAUAUUCAUACAAGACAAUAGAGACUAUAUGAAUAUGCAUGGCACAAGUGCAGGUCCUGGUUACUGGCUACACAUGUAACACCAAUAAAUGGAUAGAACAAUAACGGGAACAACUCCAGAUUACACACAAAGCUCUGUCCAUAGUGCCAGCUAUGGAUAAAAUCAUGCACACUCCCAACAGAACUCAGUCACACAGUAUAAUUCUAACUAUAAUAUAACCAAGAACUAAAGAUUGUCACAUAGUAUAAUUCUGACUAUAAUAUAACCAGAGAACUAAAGAUUCUACGUACUUAGAACUCAACUAAUAAGUGAGAAUGAUCUGAUUGUAUGCAAACAAUCUUUUUUUAUUUGUUUAUAUUACAAAAACAGACAUAUCUUCCUUUAUGUGAAGAAGUCUGCUUCCUUCUUUAGUUAGUAGUAAUCGUUCCAUGCAAAUCAACCGUGUGUGUGUGCUUGAUCAUGGUCUCGAGAUUACAUGCAUAGAGGAACAGAAUCCUAAACAAAAUAGUAUCAAACAGCGGUGGGUGCUCAACCUAUUUACCAUACACAAGCAACACUUAAAUCAUAGCAUGUGCAUAUACUUGUGUCACAUCAGGGGGUUCAGAAUGUACUCAACAUAAUCUAAUAAAAAGGAUUGGGAGCAGAGGGAGAGGGAGGUGGAGAUGGACGUGCUACCUGUUGCUGCGGUGGUGCCUCUUGGUGGUCGUGCUUGAGCUCCUCCUGAAGCUGCUCACUAACCUGCAAGACAAACAAGACCAUGGGUGAGCUGCAGCACAGGCACAUACAUUAAGUGAAGAUAAGGAGAAGAACCUGGAAGAAGAGAGGUGCUCUGUCCUCCGUCCGUGCCCGUCCUCCUCCUCCGUGCCGAUGUCAAACAACCUCUGCUCGUCGUUUGCGAGCACCAUGCGCCUUGGUUGGCCAUGACGCCCUUGUCCUCUGUUGCAUGGAUGAAAACCAAAGAAUCAGUACAGCUACACUGGCACAUAAUACAGACAUGGUUCAGUUGAGAUCUACUAAACUACAUCAUCACAGGAACGACGAGCAGUUUUAGAUCUUAAAAACUAAUGUUCCAUGCAUAGUCUUAGUGCUCCAUCAAAGAAUCAACUAAAUUUGCUCUCAAGCAUACAAACAAAGUUUAGGGAAAACCAAACAUGAACAAGCACUUAUUGUGUAGGACACAUAGCUAUUUCAUAAGCACUCAGUGUGGACAUGUGUGCUACAUGUAUUGUGCACAAAAAGGUGAGGCUCCCAACAGCCCAAUAUUAUCCCAAUAUUAUGACUACUACAGUUCAGAUUUUGAUAAUAAAACUGACAUGUGUGGACGAUGCGGAGCAGCCGUGGAGUCUCACGGAUCAACAAGCGUGUAACAACAUAAACAACAAUAGUUUAAGUUGGGCUUGCUCCCCUCUUCUCCUGCUCGUUGUUUUUCUCCUUAGCUUGCUCCUUCUUCUCCUGGGCGUGCUCCUUCUUCUCCUACAACAGCAGCAACAGCAGGUUAAUGACAACAGUAGUUUGACAACAGCAGCAGGUCAAUAACAAAAAAAACCCAGUUACUAAAUCUGACUAAUACUACAAAAACAACAAAGCAUUUAGUCCCAAACUAAAUCAGAUGCAUUCUUUCUUUGUCCUUUGGAUGAUUAGAAAUGCUCAGGUUCUGAAGUGCCAACGGUUCUGGUUGUCAACAAGGUAGAUUGCACACCAUUUGUUUCAGGAGAAGAGUUUGAGAAAUUCAGUGGAAUUUUCAGAAAACAUGUGCACACAUUUGCAGUCUACACACCAGAAUACCUUGUCAAGUAGCCAGGCAUGAUGAGACUGAACAUGUCAGGUGGCACCGCGAGCGCCAUUGUUGGAGUUCAGAGAGAAAUCAUCGUCCGAGGCAGACAGGAGCAAGCUCCCGCUACUGUUGAAGCUUAUGGUGUUGACAGCACCUUUGUGCUUCUGCAGCCUCCUCUUCUGGAUGCCCAGCGAGUGCACAAAGUCCUGCACGGCAAGCCAAACAGAAGCUCAAUUUUACCCUUGACUCGAAUGAAAAGAAAAAGGCCCGGCUGAUAAUAUCCUAUGAUAGAUCGGGUUGGACAUCAUACGGCCGCUUGAUUAAUUAGCGUUGUUUGAUUUCAGUAUGCGAACCUGCCUUCGGCAUUUCUACAAGAGGGUACUGAAUAUUAACUGAACAUUCCAUGGCACAAAUUCUCCAAAACAAGACCCCGCUCGCAUGUGCGCAAGGCACAACCUGCAGGUGUCGUCGACGCCAUUAGUUGCAGCCUGACAUCUCUUUAUUUUUUUUCUCAAAAUAAAAAUAAAAUCUGCAGACUGACUUGGAGUUGGAGAGACUGACCAAGCCUAGGUGAGAAUCAGAUCAACCGCGCAGCAGCUCUCUGCUGGAGCUGGCAACGCGCCAGCGCCUAAUGCUGCUGGAUUUGAAGGUCGAAUGGGUGGCUCAGGCAGAGUGGGAGAAUUGGGAGGGGGACGGACCUCGGAGGCCCUGACGGCGCCGGCGAAGCGCCUGGGCGGAGGCGGCAGUCCUCGCGCGCCCGCAGCCCUACCACCCGCUCCCGCUCCGCAGCAUCCCCUCCUCCCUCCUCCGGCAGCAUCCCCUCCUCCUCGAGGGCUCCUCCUCCUCUGUCGGUGCUGCCACUGGGUGGUUCCUAUUUGACGCUCGCGUGCAUGUUUGAACCGUAGCCAACUCCGUCUUCAUCUUCAAGGGCAUCACCUGACCGCACACACACACGCAUCACACAUACGCAUAGCGCCUCGCGAAAUCUUGAGCGAAUCGAACGGGGGUAGAGAAGAUCUAGCGACUCACCAGCCCGGGGGCUUGGUCGGGCAGCGCCAUGCCCAGCUUGGACCCCGCGUCGACGACCACCGCGUCGACGAGCACCAUCCGGAUCUGGAUCUGAGUCGAGUGGGAGAGAGAGGAGGGAACGAGGAUCUGAGGUGGGGAGGGGAGGUGUGGUANNNNNNNNNNNNNNNNNNNNNNNNNNNNNNNNNNNNNNNNNNNNNNNNNNNNNNNNNNNNNNNNNNNNNNNNNNNNNNNNNNNNNNNNNNNNNNNNNNNNNNNNNNNNNNNNNNNNNNNNNNNNNNNNNNNNNNNNNNNNNNNNNNNNNNNNNNNNNNNNNNNNNNNNNNNNNNNNNNNNNNNNNNNNNNNNNNNNNNNNNNNNNNNNNNNNNNNNNNNNNNNNNNNNNNNNNNNNNNNNNNNNNNNNNNNNNNNNNNNNNNNNNNNNNNNNNNNNNNNNNNNNNNNNNNNNNNNNNNNNNNNNNNNNNNNNNNNNNNNNNNNNNNNNNNNNNNNNNNNUGGAUCUGGCCAGAGGCAGGGAGGGGGUCGAGGCCGGAGGCAGGGGAGGGGGUCGAGGCCGGCGGCGAGCGGCUGUGGAUGGCGGCGACGGGAGGGAGGGAUCUGGAUCGGGAAACGCUAGGGUUCGCUGCGUGUGGGAGAGAGAGUUGUGGUGUGCGGGGAGAGAGGAGCUAGCAGUGGGUGGGUGUGCGUGGGUGAGAGGGUGAGGGGGUGUGGGCCGUUGGAUAUGAGGGUAUCCGACGGUUUCUGAUGCUUGAUCCGCGUGACAUGCUCAUAGAUCAAUCAGAACAAAGUAUAAGCUUUGACGACGUUAUGACCAUCUAAAUUUGUCGUAAGAUUAACAUAGGCGGCUGCUACCAGUCAGCCAGAUGAUUUUGUCUAUAAAACAUCUGCGGUGUGCCAAGAGCUCCAAUGCAGCACCACGGUGCCCGGCGAAGCUCCAUUGCAGUGUCGGGGAGCUCCAACGCAGCGCCACCCCUUCUCUUUUUAUGACAAUGUUUCAUACUAGGUGGGAUUUUUGUCGAUUCACUAGUAAGUCGGUCAAAUUUUAACUACAGCUACCUCAUAUUUUGUUCAAAUGAUCUCAUAUUGUGCACAAGGGUGCAUAUUGGAAUGGCAAACAAUGUUGCCUAAGGAAGUUUUCAUUUUCUUUGGGCGAAAAAAUCAUUUUUCAUUUUUCGAGCGCCCAAAAUGAGGUUUUUUUGUGAAGAACCUACCAAAUAAUUGUUGCAAAAUUGGACCAAAUCAAUUUUAUAAAAUGCUAGGUCAUAUUUAAUUCACAAUUGACCAAAUGGUUUGAUGUCAAAAGUUUUGAACCACCUCUGGUGAAAAAGACAAAUUUCCGUCGAUUUAGUAGGAAGCGGGUCAAAUUUGAACUGCAGCUGCCUCAAAGUUUGCUCUUUAAUUUUUCCAAAAAUCAUUUCUAGGUACAUAAAUAUCUAUUUAAUCAUAGAAACACAAAAAAAAUUCCAAGAUUCAACCACUAGCUAGGAACGGUCAUUCCCGCCGUUUUGACGACAUUUUGAAACGGGCAUAAAAAAUUCAAAAAUAAUCAAAAAAUUGGAAAACCUCCGCAUUGUUUCAUCAUAUGUGGCCAAGUUACCAGAAAAAAUUAUAAACUUGUAAUACGGCAAUUAUUUUAAAAAAAUGUUCUCAGAAAUGAGCUAUCAUGCGGGAAGAUUCAUGGCUUUCAAGCCAAAUGAUCACUCUUAUGGCCACAUUCAUGGCAUAGUUUGUUCAAAUGAUCCCAUAUUGUUCACAAGGGUGCAUCUUGGAAUUCCAAACUAUCUUGCCUAAGGGAGUUUUCACUUUCAUUGCAUGAAAGAGCCAUUUUCCAUUUUUGGAGUGCCCCAAAUGAGGUUUUUUUGUCAAGAACCUACCAAAUAAUUCUUGCAAAAUUGAACCAAAUCAUUUUUCUAAAAUACUAGGCCAUAUUUAAUGCACAAUUGACCAAAUGGUUGGGUGUAAAAAGUUUUGAUCCACCUCUAGUAAAAAAGACAAAUUUCUGCUGAUUUAGGUGGAACCGGGUCAAAUUUGAACAACAGCUACCUUAUUGUUUGCUCUUUAUUUUUUCCAAAAAUCAUUUCUAGUUAUCUAUUUAAUCAGAGAAAACACCAAAAAAAAUCCAAGAUUCAACAACUAGCUAAGAACGGUCAUGCCCGCCAUUUUGACAACAUUUUGAAACGGGCAUAAAAAAUUCAAGAAAAAUCAAAAAAUUGGAAAACCUUCGCAUUGUGUCAUUAUAUGUGACCAAGUUUCCAAGAAAAAUAAUAAACCUGUAAUAUGAGAAUUAUUUUUAAAAUGUAUUCUCAGAAAUGAGCUAUCAUGCAUGAAGAUUCAUGGCUUUCAAGCCAAAUGAUCAAUCUUAUGGCCACAUUCAUGGCAUAGUUUGUUCAAAUGAUCUCAUAUUGUGCACAUGGGUGCAUCUUGGAAUUCCAAACAAUGUUGCAUAAGGGAGUUUUCAAUUUCUUUGCAAGGAAAAUUCAUUUUCCAUUUUCUGAGUGCCUGAAAUGAGUUUUUUUUGUGAAGGACCUACCAUAUAUUUGUUGCAAAAUUGGACCUAACUAAUUUUAUAAAAUACUAGGCCAUAUUUAAUGCACAAAUGACCAAAUGGUUGGGUGUCAAAAGUUUUGAUCCACCUCUGGUGAAAACGACAAUUUUCCGCCGAUUCAGUUGGAAGCGGGUCAAAUUUGAACUAUAGCUGCCUCAUAGUUUGCUAUUUAUUUUUUCCAAAAAUCAUUUCUAGGUACAUAAAUAUCUAUUUAAUAAUAGAAACAUCAAAAGUUUUCCAAGAUUCAGCCACUAGCUAGGAACGGUCAAGCCCGUCGUUUUGACUGCAUUUUGAAACGGGCAUAAAAAAUUCAAAAAAAAAUGAAAAAAUUGGAAAACCUUCGCAUUGUGUCAUUAUAUGUGACCACGUUUACAGGAAAAAUAAUAACUAGUAAUACAGCAAUUAUUUUAAAAAAGUGUUCUCAGAAACGAGCUAUCAUGCGUGAAGAUGCAUGGCUUUCAAGCCAAAUGAUCAAUCUUAUGGCCACAUUCAUGACAUAGUUUGUUCAAAUGAUCUCAUAUUGUGCACAAGGGUGCAUCUUGGAAUUCCAAACAAUGUUGUCUCUAAGGGAAUUUUCAAUUUCUUUGCACGGAAAAUACAUUUUCCUUUUUCCGAGUGCCCGAAAUGAGUUUUUUUGUGAAGGACCUACCAUAUAUUUGUUGCAAAAUUGGACCUGACCAAUUUUAUAAAAUACUAGGCCAUAUUUAAUGCAUAAUUGACAAAAUGGUUGGGUGUCAAAAGUUUUGAUCCACCUCUGGUGAAAAAGACAAAUUUCCGCCGAUUUAGUAGGAAGCAGGUCAAAUUUGAACUGCAACUGCCUCAUAGUUUGCUUUUUAUUUUUUCCAAAAAUCAUUUCUAGGUACAUAAGUAUCUAUUUAAUAAGAGAAACAUCAAAUUUUUUCCAAGAUUCAACCACUAGCUAGGAACGGUCAAGCCCGCCGUUUUGACCGCAUUUUGAAACGGGCAUAAAAAAUUCAAAAAAAAUCAAAAAAUUGGAAAACCUUCGCAUUGUGUCAUUAUAUGUGACCAAGUUUCAAGGAAAAAUAAUAAACUUGUAAUACGACAAUUCUUUUUAAAAAGUGUUCUCAGGAACGAGCUAUCAUGCGUGAAGAUUCAUGGCUUUCAAGCCAAAUGAUCAAUCUUAUGGCCACAUUCAUGGUAUAGUUUGUUCAAAUGAUCUCAUAUUGUGCACAAGGGUGCAUCUUGGAAUUCCAAACAAUGUUGCUUAAGGGAGUUUUCAUUUUCUUUUCACGGAAAAUACAUUUCCCUUUUUCCGAGUGCCCGAAAUGAGUUUUUUGUGUGAAGGACCUACCAUAUAUUUGUUGCAAAAUUGGACCUAAUCAAUUUUAUAAAAUACCAGUCCAUAUUUAAUGCACAAUUGACAAAAUGGUUGGGUGUCAAAAGUUUUGAUCCACCUCUGGUGAAAAAGACAAAUUCCCGUCGAUUCAGCUGGAAGCGGGUCAAAUUUGAACUGCAGGUGCCUCAUAGUUUGCUCUUUGUUUUUUCCAAAAAUCAUUUCUAGGUAAAUAAGUAUCUAUUUAAUCAGAAAUACAUGGUUUGAUGGCGAGACAUCGAGGUUUGGACGGUGUCCGAGGGCUCCAACUCUAGAGCGCAUAAGCUCGCAUGCCCGCCGCGUGGUCACCGCGUGACCGUGGCGUUGCCAUGCGUUCUGGGUGGCCUAGGCAUGUCUAGUGGGUUGGACACUCCCCAGGUAGGUGCUAGGAAGAUAACAUAAGAUUCUCAUGAGGAGACCGAACUAUGCUCAAACAUGAAUUAGCAGCCAAGUGUUUGAUUAGCGGUACGGGAAAUGCACAUGGCCAAUGGGCAUGAGUUUUGGCUGAGGAUGAUCAUAUACUAAGAAGAAUGUCUUCACAAAUUUUUAGGGAAACCAAGAAUAUAUAAAUAACACUUCCUUCACAAAGUGCUGCUCUAAAUAGAAUAGGAAAAUGAAUAUUAUUGAGUUAUUUUUGAACUAGGCAAGGAAGAUUUUUGACAUAUUUGAUGAAGAUAUGAUCCAAAAAAUUUAAGAGAAUUUUUUGGGAAUUUUUGGAAUAACAGAAAUAUAGGUUGCUUCAAAACCUAGGGCAAAAAUUGACACAUGGACAUGACACAUAGGCAAAACUAAUGAGGUGGCGCCUAGUCAUAGCAAUAAGUACUAAUGCAUCCACGUUCACAACCUCGUGACCAUUUAUAUUGGUCGUAAUCAGGUAGAAAUAAGGUCAUGGACCACUCUUGUCUACUUUUAUGACCGUUUGGUCUAAGGCAAUUCAGGGUUUGAGCCCUUCGAAGCGAAAUGGCCGUGGAUUUACGACCAAUUCAGCUAGGGUCACUAAGAGAAGGUCACUAGUUGACAUAUUUCUUGUAGUGUACCGUGACCUAACGGAGGAGCGACAACCUCCCCCGCCGUCUGGAUCCCGCGAACAGAGUAACUCAUCGCCAGCACCAGCGCGCCCAACCGCCCUUGUGCAGCCCUCAGCACCAUCAUGUGAAGCCCAGCACAACCCCAUGUCACAGCAACAGCCCGGCCCGAUUGGAGCGACCCGUGGUGACCCCACCACGCAAGAGGGAUAAAGCGCCCCGCCGCAGCAGAUGCUGGUCGGGCUUUGCUCGCCAACACGAGCAGGCGGCAGCGAGGAGGGAGGAGGAGAAGGGGCUGCUGGUCGAAGACAGCUAGGGUUCCUCCCCUGCCGCCCACGGGAGCGAAAGAGGGAGGUGAUACGUCAAAUUUGCAUCAUGUUUUAUUACUGUUAUUUCUAGUGUUUUUAUUCAUUAUAGUACUUUGGGGAGUACUUCUAAUGCCCUUUCUCUCAUAAUUUGUAAGGUUUACACAAAGAGGGAGAUUACCGGCAACUGGAAUUCUAGACCUGAAAUAACAUAUCAGAGAUACCUCUUUUGUACGUCUCCAAAUGAGCUAAAAAAUUAUGGAGAUUUAUUUUGUAAUAUAAAAAAAUAUUGGAGUCAAAAGUUCCAGAGGGGGCCACAGAGGGUGUCCUGGAUUAGGGGGUAUCCGGACAGCCGGACCAUAUACAUCGUCCGGACUAUUGAAGUGUGAAGAUACAAGACUCAAGACUUCGGCCCGUGUCCGGAUGGGACUCUCCUUUGCGUGGAAGACAAGCUUGGCGAUCCGGAUAUUAUAUUUCCUUCCUUGUAACUGACUCGAUGUAAACCCUAACUCUCUCCGAUGUCUAUAUAAACCGGAGAGGAUGGUCCUUAGAAGGUCGAUCACAAUUACAAUCGUACCAUCAUAGGCUAGCUCUUAGGGUUUAGCCUCUACGAUCUCGUGGUAGAUCUACUCUUGUACUACACGCAUCUUCAAUAUUAAUCAAGCAGGAAGUAGGGUUUUACCUCCAUCGAGAGGGCCCGAACCUGGGUAAACAUUGUGUCCCUUGCUUCCUGUUACCAUGUACCUAAGACGCACAGAUCGGGACCCCCUACCCGAGAUCCACCAGUUUUGACACCGACAUUGGUGCUUUCAUUGAGAGUUCCUCUAUGUUGUCGCUUCGAGGCUCGAUGGCAUCUUCAAUCUCCAACAACACGGUCCAGGGCGAGACUUUUCUCCCCGGACAGAUCUUCGUGUUCGGCGGCUUCGCACUGCGGGCCAAUUCGCUUGGUCAUCUAGAGCAGAUCGACAGCUAUGCCCCUGGCCACCAGACCAGGUUCGGAAACUUGAACCACAAGGCGGAUAUUCGCGGAGACUUGAUCUUCGACGGAUUUGGGUCCGAGCCAGGAGCGCCGGACAGUCAUGACGAGCACAGCCUAGACAUGUUGUCGGACAAUGUUCGGGAUAUCAUCCCCGCAGUAGCCCUGGAUCUAAAUCAGGAGCAGGUCGCGUUUCCCAAGGACGGAGGGGUGGACCCCGCCCCACAGGCCGUAUACUCAUCGUCGAUGGAGCCGAACACAGGUCUCACCUCUGUUGAGGCCUGUAACCUUGGGCCCCCGGACUCGCAUCCGGUUGUUGGUUCUGGUCCGCACACCCUCGAGCCAGCCAAUCCAGGUUGGGCUCCGGUAAUGGAGUUUACCGCCGCGGACAUCUUUCAGCACUCGCCCUUUAGCGACAUGCUGAACUCAUUAAAGUCUCUCUCUUUGUCAGGAGGCUCUGGGCCGAACUAUGUCCGGCUUGAGUGGGAAGCCGGUGACGAAGGAAUUCGCUGCCCACCCACCACCCUCUACAUUGCCACGGUCGACGAUUUAACCAACGUGCUUAACUUCGACUCCGAAGACAUCGACGGUAUGGACGAUGAUGCAGGAGACGCACAGGAGCCACCGCUCAUAGGGCGGUGGAUAGCCGCCUCUUUAUACGAUAUUUAUAUGGUGGACACUCCGAAGGAAAUCAAUGGCGACGAGGCAGUGGAGGAUAACCCCUCAGGAAAAAAAGCAAAGCAUUGGCGUCUUCGGCGCCGCUCCAAGCCCCGCCACAUCAAUGACGGCCCCGGAGAUGAAAGCAAUCCGGAUGGUGCCGAAGAGGAAUACAACCCUGAUCAGCCUACCUUCAAGCAGGCCGGACCGGCCACGGUGGGAUACUUGGAGAGGGACAACUAUACACCCCCCCUCCGAAGACGAGGUAAGCCUCGACAAUGAUGAUUCGGCGUGCCUGAAGACCCAGUGGAACAAGUUCACUUUAAGCGACUGCUCAUAGCCACGGCAAGGAGUCUGCAAAGGAAGCAAGAGCAGCUUAAAGCUGACCAAGAUUUGCUAGCGGAUAGGUGGACCAAGAUCCUGGCCACCAAAAAGUACGGAUUCGACCGCCCUAACAAAGGGCAUAGAGGCACAACUGGCUACCUCAACCUAAGCAGGAGAACCAAAGGCACACAACCCGACGUCCACACACCAUUACGGUCCAAGACAGUAAGAAGGAUACACAAAGAGGCAUCCUCAAGCCUCGGUGCGAUGGUCAUAAAUGUCAAGUCAGGGAAGCUGGCGCCGAGUCCAGCAACCCCCAGCCCGGUCAACGGACAAAGAACAGCUCAAGCCUAUUCAGCCCGAGCCACAUACUUGAUCAACCAUGUGAAAUUCAUGGUACUCCUAGAAGGACGGCAAAGCAUACCAAUAGAGAAUGCCGGAUCCUCAAAACAAAGCGACCGGUCGUGUGCUAGAAACAAUGACGGGAGUCGUCUAGUCAAGAGACCCCCCCCCUAGAGCACAACAGUACGGCCGAUCGCCCCUAUCAUACAAACCACAACAAUUCAAUUGUCGUACCCCUAGACCUCGUAGUCCAGGGGCUCCAUAACACAUAAAGCCCGAGCGGGUAUGAAACCACGAAUAACACCUUCUAUAAGAUGUCUGGGGCAAGGGCCAAGUUCAUUGGCCCACCGCUCUAACGGUUGUUUUCAGGUAACCAAAAAAUGCCACGUCAUCGGCAUAUUCCCCCCAUACGGUAACCCACCAUCUGCUAACGGGACAAACCACACUGACUAGAUCCCACGUGGUAAACCAUUAGGCCAACACCAGUGAUAUACUCACGCCUACGUGCAAAGUCAAACCCCGCCUUUAGAAUGGAAAUCAUACAGCUGCCGGAGUAGCAAGUCAUGCAUGCCUAUCAAAAUUUUGAUAUGACAACCAACUAUCCGGACACCAAUUGAGGAGCCCGUGCUGCUUCACAGUAUAGCGGCUGGGGUCACCAGGGUCCGAUCAGGAACCUUUAGACCAACCACAAGAGGACGUUCGGCUACCUCCAAACAUUUACCUUCGCAAACUGCCUUUUAUGCAGAACAGGAUUGGUGGCGCGGAAUUGGCCUGGACACACAAAGACAGGACCAUGCAGGUAGAAGGCAGUCCGGGUUCACUUUCGAUCCACUCACAGCCCCCUACAGUCCGGCCAUCUUAGGUUCCGCCAAACACCAUCUCUUUUCAUAAUCAUAAAUAGCACUCAUAUGCAUAGCCAUAUUAUCCUGCUACAAUGCGUAGACUUCAAUAACAUGCACCGACCGUCGUUUAUCAUCGACGCCUCUUUGCCACAAAACGGCAGCCACGCUUCCUGUUACGCCCGGUUAUGCCAGGGGCUUCACAAUACGGCAACAAAGUCCGACCACCUUUUCGGUCGCUCGGCACCCCAAACUUAUAGCACUAUAUGCAUCAGCUCUGAAUCAUGUCUUGGGUCAUUGGUUGGGUUUUCCUGGCUCCCAUGUUUUGGUACCUUAUGUUCCGUUCUGUCGGCUAAGGUAGCAAUGGGAGAACUACUUCGAUUGUGUCCCGGUUCAGCCGGACGAGCACCUCAGUAGAGAAAGCCGAAAACCGACUUUCAUGAUGUAGUGAGAGCUGGUCAGCUGUUCGAGAGGUUGUAAAAUCCUUAAAGAUUUAUUCCGCAUAACACCAUCAUAAAUGCAGACUGCGACGAAUCGGUCUUCCGCUAAGGCGCCAAUAGAGCCCCUAGUUCGGCCUUCUGAACACCAGGGGUUGCGCCGACCAUACUCAAUUCCUAUGGCUAAGUGAGAGUAGUAAAG